UUGACCUCGGAUCAGGUAGGGAUACCCGCUGAACUUAAGCAUAUCAAUAAGCGGAGGAAAAGAAACCAACAGGGAUUGCCCUAGUAACGGCGAGUGAAGCGGCAACAGCUCAAAUUUGAAAUCUGGCGUCUUUGGCGUCCGAGUUGUAAUUUGCAGAGGGCGCUUUGGCAUUGGCAGCGGUCCAAGUUCCUUGGAACAGGACGUCACAGAGGGUGAGAAUCCCGUACGUGGUCGCUAGCCUUUACCGUGUAAAGCCCCUUCGACGAGUCGAGUUGUUUGGGAAUGCAGCUCUAAAUGGGAGGUAAAUUUCUUCUAAAGCUAAAUACUGGCCAGAGACCGAUAGCGCACAAGUAGAGUGAUCGAAAGAUGAAAAGCACUUUGGAAAGAGAGUUAAAAAGCACGUGAAAUUGUUGAAAGGGAAGGCGCUUGCAGCCAGACUUGCCUGUAGUUGCUCAUCCGGGUUUUUACCCGGUGCACUCUUCUACGGGCAGGCCAGCAUCAGUUUGGGCGGUUGGAUAAAGGUCUCUGUCAUGUACCUCCUCUCGGGGAGAACUUAUAGGGGAGACGACAUGC
Molecule: ribosomal RNA, 573 nt
Filed under: Epicoccum sorghinum
Lineage: Eukaryota; Fungi; Ascomycota; Dothideomycetes; Pleosporales; Didymellaceae
Description: eukaryotic LSU rRNA
Rfam family: Eukaryotic large subunit ribosomal RNA
Source: RNAcentral